This 383-nucleotide long non-coding RNA is filed under the name Dromaius novaehollandiae (emu). Its description in RNAcentral is "lncRNA (ENSDNVG00000014416.1)". Lineage: Eukaryota; Metazoa; Chordata; Aves; Casuariiformes; Dromaiidae. The record is from RNAcentral.
UACAUUCUUGUAUCUUUUAGGUCUUCCUGGAGUAUCAGGGGAAAAUCAGUCACCAUUUGCACUCAAUAAACUCGGAGAUGAUACUACAGGAAUCGAUGUAACCCAUGUAUAUAUGUAUGCACAUAUUGGAAAAAGCAGCAAGUAAAACUAAGGCCUCACUGGAAUUUAAUUUAAGCAUCCAACGGCUCCAGCAUUUCUUGUGCGUACAAAGCUCCAUUGCUCAGAAGGGAAAGUUGGUGUUUCCAGAGGUGGCAGAGAGUGCCAUCGGCACUGGUUAUACAUGCUUGAAACUAUGCCCAUACUUGUUUUUUCUGCUCAAGUAUUAAGAAGGUAGGUAUAUUUUUAGUAUUAUAUUAAUGUGAAAGAAACAAUGUAAGUUAGGG